RNAcentral lists this ribosomal RNA (492 nucleotides) under uncultured bacterium. RNAcentral describes it as "partial 16S ribosomal RNA". It matches the Rfam family "Bacterial small subunit ribosomal RNA", at positions 29 to 507 of the family's 1533-position model. The record is from RNAcentral.
AGUGAACGCUGGCGGUAGGCCUAACACAUGCAAGUCGAACGGCAGCACAGUAAGAGCUUGCUCUUACGGGUGGCGAGUGGCGGACGGGUGAGGAAUACAUCGGAAUCUACUUUUUCGUGGGGGAUAACGUAGGGAAACUUACGCUAAUACCGCAUACGACCUACGGGUGAAAGCAGGGGAUCUUCGGACCUUGCGCGAUUGAAUGAGCCGAUGUCGGAUUAGCUAGUUGGCGGGGUAAAGGCCCACCAAGGCGACGAUCCGUAGCUGGUCUGAGAGGAUGAUCAGCCACACUGGAACUGAGACUCGGUCCAGACUCCGACGGGAGGCAGCAGUGGGGAAUAUUGGACAAUGGGCGCAAGCCUGAUCCAGCCAUACCGCGUAGGUGAAGAAGGCCUUCGGGUUGUAAAGCCCUGUUGUUGGGAAAGAAAAGCAGCAGGUUAAUACCCCGCUGUUCUGACGGUACCCAAAGAAUAAGCACCGGCUAACUUCGUG